Molecule: long non-coding RNA, 299 nt
Organism: Physella acuta
Lineage: Eukaryota; Metazoa; Mollusca; Gastropoda; Physidae
Source: RefSeq, a predicted model, not a curated record
UUUGCCGGAAAUGAAUCCUAGGCCUACGGAGUAGAGUUGCGUUGCUCCAAGUUUCCGUGUCAGAGUUCAUGUUAAAUACACGAUGUGGAACAGCUCCUAGAUGAUUGAUAGGGAAUGGGAGGAGCCAGAUUAGAAGGGAAUUCCGAGCACAUGGAUGCUAUUUUCGUCCCAAACGGUGAGCAUUCUUUGAUGAAGUGCUAAAAAGUACAAGUUUGGACCUGUGGUAAAUAUCAAGUGCCCAUCAAUCCUGACAGAACUUCAAGACCACAGAUGUAAUUUGAACAUUUAAUCCUUCUUUU